AACGAACGCUGGCGGCGCGCUUAACACAUGCAAGUCGAACGGUCCUGAUAGAGCCGUAAGGUGAUAUCGGGAUAGUGGCAAACGGGUGAGUAAUACGUGGAUAAUCUACCCUUGAGUGGGGGGUAACUCUGCGAAAGUGGAGCUAAUACCGCGUAAGACUACAGAAUCGCAUGAUUCAGUAGUAAAAGGCUCCGGUUUACCGGAGUCGCUCAGGGAUGAAUCCGCGCCUGAUUAGCUAGUUGGUAGGGUAACAGCCUACCAAGGCAACGAUCAGUAGCCGGCCUGAAAGGGUGUUCGGCCACACUGGAAUUGAGAUACGGUCCAGACUCCUACGGGAGGCAGCAGUGGGGAAUCUUGCGCAAUGGGGGAAACCCUGACGCAGUGACGCCGCGUGAACGAUGAAGUCCUUCGGGAUGUAAAGUUCUGUUAGGCGGGAAGAACCCCUGAGAAAUCAGGGAUGACGGUACCGCCAGAGGAAGCACCGGCUAAUUCCGUGCCAGCAGCCGCGGUAACACGGAGGGUGCAAGCGUUGUUCGGAAUUACUAGGCGUAAAGAGCGUGUAGGUGGUUAACUAAGUCGGAUGUGAAAAUCCCAAGCUUAACUUGGAACGUGCAUUCGAAACUGGUUAACUUGAGUGUAGGAGAGGAGAGCGGAAUUCCUAGUGUAGCGGUGAAAUGCGUAGAUAUUAGGAAGAACACCGGUGGCGAAGGCGGCUCUCUGGCCUAAAACUGACACUGAGACGCGAAAGCGUGGGUAGCGAACAGGAUUAGAUACCCUGGUAGUCCACGCCGUAAACGAUGGGCAUUAGGUGUAGGAGGUACCCAAUCCUUCUGUGCCGAAGUUAACGCAUUAAAUGCCCCGCCUGGGGAGUACGACCGCAAGGUUG
This 886-nucleotide ribosomal RNA is filed under the name uncultured delta proteobacterium. RNAcentral describes it as "bacterial SSU rRNA". It matches the Rfam family "Bacterial small subunit ribosomal RNA", at positions 28 to 896 of the family's 1533-position model. Lineage: Bacteria; Deltaproteobacteria. The record is from RNAcentral.